Molecule: ribosomal RNA, 1070 nt
Filed under: uncultured bacterium
Lineage: Bacteria
Description: bacterial SSU rRNA
Rfam family: Bacterial small subunit ribosomal RNA
Source: RNAcentral
CCUACGGGAGGCAGCAGUCGAGAAUUUUUGACAAUGGGGGAAACCCUGAUCGAGCGACGCCGCGUGGAGGAUGAAGGUCUUCGGAUUGUAAACUCCUGUCAUUUGGGAACAAGGUGCACACGUUAACUGCGUGUGCAUUGAUAGUACCAGAAGAGGAAGAGACGGCUAACUCUGUGCCAGCAGCCGCGGUAAUACAGAGGUCUCAAGCGUUGUUCGGAUUCAUUGGGCGUAAAGGGUGCGUAGGCGGCGCGGUAAGUCGGGUGUGAAAUCUCGGAGCUUAACUCCGAAACUGCAUUCGAUACUGCCGUGCUUGAGGACUGGAGAGGAGACUGGAAUUUACGGUGUAGCGGUGAAAUGCGUAGAUAUCGUAAGGAAGACCAGUGGCGAAGGCGGGUCUCUGGACAGUUCCUGACGCUGAGGCACGAAGGCCAGGGGAGCAAACGGGAUUAGAUACCCCGGUAGUCCUGGCAGUAAACGGUGCACGUUUGGUGUGGGAGGAUUCGACCCCUUCUGCGCCGGAGCUAACGCGUUAAACGUGCCGCCUGGGGAGUACGGUCGCAAGAUUAAAACUCAAAGAAAUUGACGGGGGCCCGCACAAGCGGUGGAGUAUGUGGCUCAAUUCGAUGCAACGCGAAGAACCUUACCAGGCCUUGACAUGCAUCUCUAAGUUGGUGAAAGCCAGCGAGUCCCGAAAGGGACAAUUUGCACAGGUGCUGCAUGGCUGUCGUCAGCUCGUGUCGUGAGAUGUUGGGUUAAGUCCCGCAACGAGCGCAACCCCUGUGAACUGUUGCCACCGAGCCGUGAGGCUCGAGCACUCUGUUCAGACUGCCCCGCUCUAACGGGGAGGAAGGUGGGGACGACGUCAAGUCAGUAUGGCCCUUACGGCCUGGGCUGCACACGUACUACAAUGCCCAGUACAGAACGAUCCGAGACCGCAAGGUGGAGGAAAUCACUAAAACUGGGCCCAGUUCAGAUUGAAGUCUGCAACUCGACUUCAUGAAGCCGGAAUCGCUAGUAAUGGCGUAUCAGCUACGACGCCGUGAAUUCUUCCCGGGCCUUGUACACACCGC